GGAAUAUUGGUCAAUGGACGAGAGUCUGAACCAGCCAAGUAGCGUGCAGGAUGACGGCCCUAUGGGUUGUAAACUGCUUUUAUAUAGGGAUAAAGUCGGGGACGUGUCCCCGUUUGUAGGUACUAUAUGAAUAAGGACCGGCUAAUUCCGUGCCAGCAGCCGCGGUAAUACGGAAGGUCCGGGCGUUAUCCGGAUUUAUUGGGUUUAAAGGGAGCGCAGGCCGACUGGUAAGCGUGACGUGAAAUGUAGCCGCUCAACGGCUGAACUGCGUCGCGAACUGUCAGUCUUGAGUGAGUUCGAUGUUGGCGGAAUUCGUGGUGUAGCGGGGAAAUGCUUAGAUAUCACGAAGAACUCCGAUUGCGAAGGCAGCCAACAAGGCCUUUACUGACGCUAAAGCUCGAAGGUGCGGGUAUCGAACA
This 419-nucleotide ribosomal RNA is filed under the name uncultured Prevotella sp. Its description in RNAcentral is "bacterial SSU rRNA". It matches the Rfam family "Bacterial small subunit ribosomal RNA", at positions 358 to 774 of the family's 1533-position model. Lineage: Bacteria; Pseudomonadati; Bacteroidota; Bacteroidia; Bacteroidales; Prevotellaceae. The record is from RNAcentral.